UGCUAGUGUUGAUAAUUUCGCUCAAAAUGAACUAAAUGAUGAAGCUAAGCGCUUUUAUGAACAAUUAAAGGAAGCUAGUCAUCCACUGUAUGAAGGGUCAGUGCAUUCCAAGUUAUCUGUUGCAGUUAGAUUACUAAAUAUUAAAUCAGAUUUUUAUAUUUCUCAAGCGGGUAUGGAUUCUAUCAUUGGGCUUAUGAAUGAACUUAAUCCAAAUAAACUUGACUUACCCAAAGAUUUCUACACAACAAAGAAGUUGGUUUCCAAGUUAGGACUUUCAUCAGAGAGGAUUGAUUGUUGCGAGAAAGGUUGCAAGUUAUUCUAUAAGGAUGAUGCAACUUUAGAAUAUUGCAAAUUUUGUAACCAGUCUCGUUAUAAGGAAGUCACAAAUGCCAAAGGGAAGAAGGUUCCAAUAAAGGCGAUGCAUUACUUACCCCUUAUACCACGAUUAAAGAGGUUGUAUACAUCAAUGAGCUCCGCUCCUCAUAUGAGAUGGCACCAUGAACAUAAAAGGCCACCUGGUGUUCUAUGUCGUCCGUCAGAUGGAGAAGCAUGGAAGUAUUUUGAUAGGGUGUUUCCGGACUUUGCGAGUAAACCAAGAAACAUUAGGUUGGGAUUAUCUUCUGAUGGAUUUACUCCCUUUGUUGUCUCUGUUGCAUCAUAUUCAUGUUGGCCAGUGUUUGUUACACCUUAUAAUCUCCCGCCUGAGCUGUGUAUGACAAGUCCGUAUAUAUUUCUAACUUGCAUUGUUCCAGGUCCUCGCAAUCCGAAAUGUUUGAUCGAUAUAUAUAUGUAACCGUUAAUUGAUGAGUUGAAGUUAUUGUGGCAUGAAGGUGUGGAAGCAUAUGAUAUAUCAACCAAACAAAAUUUUAGAUUGCGUGCUGCUUUGAUGUGGACUAUAAAUGAUUUUCCUGCUUAUGGAAUGUUGUGCGGGUGGUCGACUGCUGGCGAGUUAGCUUGUCCUUGUUGUAUGGAAGACAAAAAAUCAUUCACUUUGAAAAAUGGAGGUAAGAACUCGUGGUUCGACUGUCAUCGUCGGUUCUUGCCAAUGCAACAUGAGUUUACGAGAAAUACUAGUGCAUUUAUGAAGAACAAAACUGAUUUUAAGGAGCCACCACCGACCCUGUCGCCAGAAGAAAUUUGGGAUAGAGUCAAGAAUCUUCCUAAUGUAGCAGAAUCUCCACCGUCUAGGAUACCUGGUUAUGGUGUUACACAUAAUUGGACUAAACAGAGUAUAUUCUUGGAGUUGCCUUAUUGGAAGCAUAAUCUUCUUCGAUAUAAUCUGGAUGUCAUGCAUAUCGAGAAAAACUUUUUUGACAACUUGUUUAAUACUGUGAUGGAUGUCAGUAACAAGACAAAAGAUAACUUGAAAGCCAAGAUGGACUUAAAGGAGUAUUGUAGACGAAGUGAGUUGUACCUGACAUACUUUAACGACAAGACUCAGAAACCCAAAGGCCAGUUACACAUUCACUUUGGAUGAUAGAAGAGAGAUUUGUGAUUGGGUUAAAAAUUUGAGGAUGCCAGAUGGAUAUGCGUCAAACUUAUCCAGGUGUGUUGACAUGAAAGAAGGGAAGUUGACAUCUAUGAAAAUUCAAUAUUGUCACAUUUUCAUGGAAUCUUUGAUGCCUAUUGCAUUUUGUGCAUUGCCUGAUCGAAUAUGGAAACCCAUCACAGAGAUAAGCUUAUUUUUCAAAAAUUUGUGUUCUAACACAUUGAGGGAGGAGAACCUAGCUUUGAUGGAUACUAAUAUUCGCUUAACCUUAAACAAGUUGGCGAAAAUUUUCCCUCCUGGUUUUUCGACAUUAUGGAGCAUCUUCCAAUUCAUCUUGUGCGAGAGGCACAACUUGGAGGACCUGUUCAAUGUAGAUGGAUGUAUCCCUAUGAGAGGCUGGUAAGAAAAUUACAAAUGCUAAACUUGCUAAAGAUUUUCAAGCAGUAUUGAAGGAGUUCCAAAAAGCUCAACAGCUUGCAGCUGAGAGGGAGACAGCAUACACACCUUUCGUUCCCAAAGCUGUUCUUCCUUCUAGUGUUGAAGUGCUCAGAAAGUAAAUAGAUGGCAUCUGGGAUUAAUGGACGUCGUAAGAAAUGUAAGAAACAACAUGAUAAUCCACCUAUAGGUCAAUCUCCCCCACCAGUUACUAUAAAUCCUCUUCAUCCUCCUCGGUCAACUAAUUCAUUGCCAAGUGCAUUUUUCACACCACCGCCGCCUGGCUAGUUCCAGUUCUAUUCUUCCCAUGGGACGCACUCUUCCAAUUCAAUGCUCACACCUAAUAUGGGCUCUUCCACGAGGAUUCAUAUUAGUCAGCAUAAUAGCUUUUCAUUUGUGCCUACAACAUCCACUCCGCUUGCAUCUCCAGCAUCAUCCGCACCUAGCAUUUCUAGGUUGAAAAUUGGAGUUCCUGGCACACCAGCAUGGCCAUCCAUCGAUAGUACUACACCAGCUACAUCACGAAAUUAGAAUAUUAAAGACACAUUAGAGCAUGACGAAUACGGGAGGUUGAUUAUCAUCCCUGAUGGUGAAGAAGAAGUGUCUAGUGAAGGGUUCAUUCCCUCAUAUGCCGGGAAUAUGGUUACAACAUCAUUUAAACCAUUUUUUCGUGAUGCUUGGGGUACAUACAAGGCCAUUCCGUACGAUGCCAGAAUGCUAAUGUGGGAUCAGUAGUGUCCAAAGUUUUAGGCCCUUGGGUUUGAUUCAGUUCAACCAUCAAGAAAGAAGCAAUCUCUUUUGUAAGCAUGUUGAAAGCUGCAGUAGGAGGGCAUUGCUAUGCCUGAUUGAGUUUCAUAUUUUAAAAGCUAACUCCUCCUUGAAAGUCUUAUAUUUGAGGAAUUGUGUUCACUUUGGUUGAUUUGUUAAAGACAUGAUUUAGUUAAAAAACAAUUUUUUUAUGAGAUUAGAGUAAAAUGAAAUCUCAGGUAUGUCCAUUUUGCUCUUGAGGAGAUUGGUGGAGCAGU
Lycium barbarum (goji berry) is the source of this 2949-nucleotide long non-coding RNA. RefSeq lists it as uncharacterized. NCBI's taxonomy places the organism in Eukaryota, Viridiplantae, Streptophyta, Magnoliopsida, Solanales, Solanaceae. The record is from RefSeq and is a predicted model, not a curated record. The transcript is spliced from 4 exons.